Molecule: long non-coding RNA, 159 nt
Filed under: Oncorhynchus kisutch (coho salmon)
Lineage: Eukaryota; Metazoa; Chordata; Actinopteri; Salmoniformes; Salmonidae
Description: lncRNA (ENSOKIG00005015083.1)
Source: RNAcentral
UGCGUGUGAGAUAAGCAGGCGAAGCUGGGAGCAGUGAGCCCCUGGUGGACGGACCUGGCUGUGGACCACGGUUGUUAUUGGCAGCUUGUCAGGCUGAGCAGAGCUGGACAGCAGGAGAUUUACCAUGGACACUUACGACGCCGCAUUUUGGUCUGAUCC